Canis lupus familiaris (dog) is the source of this 1594-nucleotide long non-coding RNA. RefSeq lists it as uncharacterized. Lineage: Eukaryota; Metazoa; Chordata; Mammalia; Carnivora; Canidae. The transcript has 3 exons. The record is from RefSeq and is a predicted model, not a curated record.
CAGAGUGGGGUAAGCGGCUACGAACUGAAAGCCACAUUCCUUGCCUCUGAAAGCAAAGCUACGGAUGGCUUCUUGAGAAGUGUGAUGGCUAAUCCUAUGUGUCAACUUGGCUGAGCCAUGUUGUUCGCGUAUUUGGCCAAACAUCAUUCUGGAUGGUCCUGUGAGGGUGUUUCAGGGUGAGGUUUGCAUUUAAAUCAGUGGACUUUGGGAAAGCAGAUUGCUCCUUAUAAUGUGGGUGGACCUCAUCCAAUCAGUUGAAAAUGUGAAUAGAACAAAAGAAGGACCUCCCCCAAGCAAGAGAGGGCUCGGCCAGCGGCCUGCCUGCGGACUGCAGCUGCAUCACUGGCUCUGCGCCACGGCUUCACACUGACAGCCUUCGACGUAAAUGACAACAUCCGCCCUUACUGAGACUCCAGCCUGCUGUCCCAUUCCACAAAUUUUGAGUUUGCCAGCCUCCAACUCCUUAAAAUAAGGAGUUGGCUCUGUUUCUCUGGAGAACCCUGACUAAUCCAAGAGGAACGGAAGGAAUAAAGAAACAUCACUCCAGGUGAUCUGAAGAAAUUAAAACUAUGAUGCAGGUUGUUUGGAAAAAAGCAACCUAGUCCAAAACCAAACGGUGGAAAGCAAACUGACUUAGGCAUUAGAUUAGCUGAAACGACAAAGUGAUCAAAAAUGAAGAGUUCACUCCCCAACUUUUCUUGUUCCUGGAUCAUUUUUGUACUCAAUUGUUCCAGGACCAUGUUCUGUCCUUUCCAAGUGCGAUUCCUAUAACAUCCCAUUUAACUCACCGAUUGGGCUUGGCAGAGGCAGAUGGGUCUCAGAGAAUGGCUGUAGAAUAUCAAAUUCAGGGGUACAGGAUCAAAUCUGAAGAUGAAAGUUUGGAGGAGAACCACAAAGUAUGCUGUGGAAAACAUCUGAGCAGAGAAGAUUCAAGAUAAAAUAAAUAAAGGACUAGCAGUUCUGUUGUGAUAAAAUUCAGAUCAGCCUCCUCCUUCUUUUCUACUGUUACAGCCUUGAUGGCAAUAAUUUUUAAUCUCCCUGUUUAGUAAAUUAAAUGAAAUGGUAAUAAUGACCAGCCCCAAAUUUUCAAGCCUAUUUUCAGUUUAGCAUACUAGUAGCCUAGAUUCUCCUUGCCAUAUGCUAUUCCCAUAGAACAACCCAACUUCAUUUAUCAGUUCUCCAAGAAAAAAAUCAUUAACACUCUGGAAUGAGGUAAAAUGAACCAAAAAUCUCCCUCAGUAGAACCCCAUAAAAUGAUCAAUAGGUAGAUAUAAUUAAAUUAUAAGGGUGCCUGAAAGUGAGACAAUCAGAUUGAGCCACUGUGGCCCCAGAGCAGCACAGUCAAGAAACACUACCAGCAUGCUGCAACAUUUCCUCACUUAUGUCUCCCAUCAGUUAUGAUUUUAUAAUGACCUCAUUGUACUUCAUAGAUGCAGUGAAAGCGAUUUGCAUAGCCUUUCCUCCAUCACUUGGCCCUUUAUUUUGGAAGCACAAUUGAUUUUAUGAACACAAAUACCCUUUCUCAAACAUAAAUGUCUCCUUACAUUUUUGUUACAGAUUGUAAUACAAGCUUUUAUUUUAUGGCUUCUUUCUU